This 97-nucleotide signal recognition particle RNA is filed under the name Simonsiella muelleri (Scheibenbakterien Muller 1911). RNAcentral describes it as "signal recognition particle sRNA small type". It matches the Rfam family "Bacterial small signal recognition particle RNA". Rfam says of the family: The signal recognition particle (SRP) is a universally conserved ribonucleoprotein involved in the co-translational targeting of proteins to membranes. Archaeal SRP consists of a 7S RNA and homologues of the eukaryotic SRP19 and SRP54 proteins. RNAcentral also lists the same sequence under 1 other name. Lineage: Bacteria; Pseudomonadati; Pseudomonadota; Betaproteobacteria; Neisseriales; Neisseriaceae. The record is from RNAcentral.
AGCGGGUCUCCUCGCAUGAUGAUUUUAAACAACGGGUCAGGGGCGGAAGCCAGCAGCCCACUUAAGAAAGUCAGUGCCGAGGGUUUGGCUCGCUACC